Diceros bicornis minor is the source of this 386-nucleotide long non-coding RNA. RefSeq lists it as uncharacterized. The record is from RefSeq and is a predicted model, not a curated record. Lineage: Eukaryota; Metazoa; Chordata; Mammalia; Perissodactyla; Rhinocerotidae. The transcript is spliced from 3 exons.
UGUGUUUCCAUGGCCCACUGAAGAUGCCCACUGUGGGUGUGGUGAGGAGAGUCUCUGGAGCCUGGAGCCCCAUUGGCCCUGAGGAAGGAGGGCCUACUUGGAAUGUCCUCCUCCGUUAUGCCAUUAUCAUCAUCCUUCAAUUCACUGCUGAACUGCUCUUUCCAUGGAACCCUGUGGAAGAAAUAGUCUCUCCCUACCCCGAACAUCUCAACUUUUAGAUCCCCUCAUGGUGGGACAUCUGCUUUUUCCUGCCUUCAGGCUUGAACUGAAACAUUGGCUCUUCUGGGUCUUGAGCCUGCUGGUCUCUGGACUGGAACCACACCAUUGGCUCUCCUGGGUCAAGUUUUCUGACUUACCCUGCGGAUUGGGACUUGUCAACCUUUAUA